GGGUACUCGAGUGGCGAACGGGUGAGUAACACGUGGGUGAUCUGCCCUGCACUUCGGGAUAAGCUUGGGAAACUGGGUCUAAUACCGGAUAGGAACCAUCUUUAGUGUGGUGGUUGGAAAGUUUUUUCGGUGUAGGAUGAGCUCGCGGCCUAUCAGCUUGUUGGUGGGGUAAUGGCCUACCAAGGCGGCGACGGGUAGCCGGCCUGAGAGGGUGUACGGCCACAUUGGGACUGAGAUACGGCCCAG
Molecule: ribosomal RNA, 246 nt
Filed under: uncultured Actinomycetales bacterium
Lineage: Bacteria; Bacillati; Actinomycetota; Actinomycetes; Actinomycetales
Description: partial 16S ribosomal RNA
Rfam family: Bacterial small subunit ribosomal RNA
Source: RNAcentral